RNAcentral lists this ribosomal RNA (538 nucleotides) under Salmonella enterica subsp. enterica serovar Enteritidis. Its description in RNAcentral is "partial 23S ribosomal RNA". It matches the Rfam family "Bacterial large subunit ribosomal RNA", at positions 161 to 741 of the family's 2925-position model. Lineage: Bacteria; Pseudomonadati; Pseudomonadota; Gammaproteobacteria; Enterobacterales; Enterobacteriaceae. The record is from RNAcentral.
AAUCCAUAGGUUAAUGAGGCGAACCGGGGGAACUGAAACAUCUAAGUACCCCGAGGAAAAGAAAUCAACCGAGAUUCCCCCAGUAGCGGCGAGCGAACGGGGAGGAGCCCAGAGCCUGAAUCAGCAUGUGUGUUAGUGGAAGCGUCUGGAAAGGCGCGCGAUACAGGGUGACAGCCCCGUACACAAAAGCGCAUGUGCUGUGAGCUCGAUGAGUAGGGCGGGACACGUGGUAUCCUGUCUGAAUAUGGGGGGACCAUCCUCCAAGGCUAAAUACUCCUGACUGACCGAUAGUGAACCAGUACCGUGAGGGAAAGGCGAAAAGAACCCCGGCGAGGGGAGUGAAAAAGAACCUGAAACCGUGUACGUACAAGCAGUGGGAGCACCCUUUGGGUGUGACUGCGUACCUUUUGUAUAAUGGGUCAGCGACUUAUAUUCUGUAGCAAGGUUAACCGAAUAGGGGAGCCGGAGGGAAACCGAGUCUUAAUUGGGCGUUAAGUUGCAGGGUAUAGACCCGAAACCCGGUGAUCUAGCCAUGGGC